CUUGGUCAUUUAGAGGAAGUAAAAGUCGUAACAAGGUCUCCGUUGGUGAACCAGCGGAGGGAUCAUUAAAGAGUUGCAAAACUCCCAACCAUUGCUAAACAACCACUGUUUCUUCGGCGGGUGGCCGCAUGGCCGCGCGCACCCCUCUCGGGGGGGACGCACCCCGCCGGAGCACACCAAACUCUUGUCAUUAUUGAUGCUCUGAGUAAAAAACAAAAUUAUUACAACUUUCAACAAUGGAUCUCUUGGCUCUGGCAUCGAUGAAGAACGCAGCGAAAUGCGAUACGUAAUGUGAAUUGCAGAAUCCAGUGAAUCAUCGAAUCUUUGAACGCACAUUGCGCCCGCCAGUAUUCUGGCGGGCAUGCCUGUCCGAGCGUCAUUUCAACCAUCAAGCCUAGUGCUUGUGUUGGGGCCCCGCGGCUGCCGCGGGCCCUGAAAACCAGUGGCGGGCUCGAAGUCGAACCGAGUGCAGUAAAUUUCUUCGCUUGGGAAGGUGACGAGUUCCGGCCGUAAAAAGCCCAACUUUAUCAAGGUUGACCUCGGAUCAGGUAGGACUACCCGCUGAACUUAAGCAUAUCAAUAAGCGGAGGAAAAGAAACCAACAGGGAUUGCCCCAGUAACGGCGAGUGAAGCGGCAACAGCUCAAAUUUGAAAUCUGGCUUCGGCCCGAGUUGUAAUUUGUAGAGGAAGCUUCUGGUGAGGCACCGUCCGAGUCCCCUGGAACGGGGCGCCACAGAGGGUGAGAGCCCCGUAUGGAUGGACGCCGAUCCUGUGUGAAGCUCCUUCGACGAGUCGAGUUGUUUGGGAAU
RNAcentral lists this small RNA (809 nucleotides) under uncultured Sordaria. RNAcentral's name for it is "eukaryotic LSU rRNA". The stretch from base 535 to 809 matches the Rfam family "Eukaryotic large subunit ribosomal RNA", at positions 1 to 281 of the family's 3401-position model. The record is from RNAcentral. Lineage: Eukaryota; Fungi; Ascomycota; Sordariomycetes; Sordariales; Sordariaceae.